GAUGACUGCCUGUUUUGGACACUUAGAAUUCUUAUAUGGAGAAGGUAAUCCUGAUAAUCCUGUUGCCUUGGACAGAAGCAUGAAACAUUAUUUGGGGCUAUCAACCUUUGCAGUACAUGUGUUAUCUUAUGAAGUGCUUUGGGAAGCUGUGUGGC
Long non-coding RNA from Melospiza melodia melodia, 155 nucleotides. RefSeq lists it as uncharacterized. Lineage: Eukaryota; Metazoa; Chordata; Aves; Passeriformes; Passerellidae. The record is from RefSeq and is a predicted model, not a curated record. The transcript is spliced from 3 exons.